CAGAGUAGGAAACCCUGCGUGAAGUGCUGCCAAAAUGGGGAGUUGUCUGGCAGACGAAGGACUGUGUCUGCGAUGGGGAUUCCGCACCCGCUGC
Molecule: non-coding RNA, 94 nt
Filed under: uncultured Faecousia sp.
Lineage: Bacteria; Bacillati; Bacillota; Clostridia; Eubacteriales; Oscillospiraceae
Description: THF riboswitch
Rfam family: THF (Tetrahydrofolate) riboswitch aptamer
About the family: THF riboswitch presents a pseudoknot that joins P1-P2 and the loop of P3 and two THF binding.
Source: RNAcentral